GACGAACGCUGGCGGCGUGGAUUAGGCAUGCAAGUCGAACGGUAUCAUCCUUUCGGGGGUGAGAGAGUGGCGAACUGGUGAGUAACACGUAGGUUAUCUACCCUCAAGACGGGGACAACCCAGGGAAACUUGGGCUAAUACCGGAUGUGAGCAACUUUUAGUUGUUUGAAAGGUGGCGUAAGCUGUCGCUUGGGGAUGAGCCUGCGUCCUAUUAGUUAGUUGGUGAGGUAACGGCUCACCUAGGCAAUGAUAGGUAGGCGGCCUUAACGGGUGGUCGCCCACACUGGGAUUGAGAUACGGCCCAGACUCCUACGGGAGGCAGCAGUCGAGAAUAGUCUACAAUGGUCGGAAGACUGAUAGUGCGACGCCGCGUGAACGAGUUUUAACCUUCGGGUGUAAGUCUUUAUAUGUGAGCAGUGCUUCUUAUAUUAACAGUAUGGGAGAGAGAUAUUAGCAUAUGAAUAAGCAACGGCUAACUCCGUGCCAGCAGCCGCGGU
This 497-nucleotide ribosomal RNA is filed under the name uncultured bacterium. Its description in RNAcentral is "bacterial SSU rRNA". It matches the Rfam family "Bacterial small subunit ribosomal RNA", at positions 28 to 521 of the family's 1533-position model. The record is from RNAcentral.